CUUAAAUCUCUGCCUUUUCUUUCCUGUCUCAUUUAUAGACCCAUCAUAAUAAAUAUGGCUACUAGGCCAGAUACAGAGGCUCACGCCUGUAAUCCCAGCACUUUGGGAGGCUGAGGUGGGCGGAUCACAAGGUCAGGAGUUCGAGACCAGCCUGGCCAACAUGGUGAAACCCUGUCUCUACUAAAAAUACAAAAAAUUAGCCGGGUGUGGUGGCGUGUGCCUGUAAUACCAGCUACUUGAGAGGCUGAGUUUGGACAUUAAUAAAGGAGGAAAAUCUAAGUCCUUAACCUGUGGGAUCUGAUGCUAUUUCGAGAAAAUGGCUAGAAAAAGGGAAUCUAAGAUAGUGGAGCCAUGUAAUGAGAGGAGCCAGAUACCUGUGUCAACACUUGGAGACAAGCUACUGAGGAAUGCAUACGAAUAAACAACAUUGGACUUUACAUGAAGAAGAAAUAAACUUUUCAUUAUUUUGUAUUGUUUUUGUUAUAGAGGCUAGGGUUGAUUACCAUGACAAUGUUUAAACAUAGGUAAUCUCAAAAAUACAAAUUAAUAUAAAAAGCCUUUGUAGGGAAAUGGAUGGAGCUGGAGACCAUUAUCCUUAGCAAACUGAGGCAGGAAGAGAAAACCAAAUACCACAUGUUCUCACUUAUAAGUGAGAGCUAAAUGAUGAGAACACCUGGACACAUAGAGGGAAACAACACACACUGUGGCCUAUCAGAGGGUGGAGGGUGGGAGGAGGGAGAGGGUCAAGAAAAAUAACUAAUGUAUACUAGGCUUAAUACCUGGGUGAUGAAAUAAUCUGUACAACAAACCCCCAUGAUGCAUGUUUACCUGUGUAACAAACCUGCACAUGUACUUCUGAAUUUAAAAACAUCAAUUUGCAUGAUGAUAUUAUAUAUAAAAUAUUUAAAACAAAAAAUAAUGUUACAUGGUAUUUAUUUUGUAUACACAUGUAAAAAUAUAUAAGUGUGCAUGAAAUGAACUACCAA
RNAcentral lists this long non-coding RNA (986 nucleotides) under Homo sapiens (human). RNAcentral describes it as "HSALNT0319465". Lineage: Eukaryota; Metazoa; Chordata; Mammalia; Primates; Hominidae. The record is from RNAcentral.